Molecule: long non-coding RNA, 1132 nt
Filed under: Homo sapiens (human)
Lineage: Eukaryota; Metazoa; Chordata; Mammalia; Primates; Hominidae
Description: long intergenic non-protein coding RNA 2020
Source: RNAcentral
GGGCAAUAUGGUAUAGCGUAUUGCUCCUAGGCUGCCAACCUGCACAGCAUGUUAUUGUACUGAACAAUGUAGGCAAUGUAACGCAAUGAUAUUUGUGUAUCUAAACAUACCUAAAUGCAGAAAUGCUGCAGUAGAUAUACAACAUAAAAGAUUGUUUUUAAGUCCACCUGUAGAAGGCACUUACCAUGAAUUGAACUUGCAGGCUUGGAAAUAUCUCUGGGUUCUGCUUGAAUUCUUGCCCUGGCUCUUGGUGAAGGAUCGGCCUGCUGGAUCUGAGUCAUCCACCUAUAAGAGGGACAACACCACACAUUGGUCGCUGCUCUCAAGCCCCUGGAAUACCACCCCACUUGGCUUCUCCUGGUAACAGUGGCUGCCUUUGCUUGCCUGUCUCCAACUCCUCCCAAGAGCAUUGCUGACUAUACCACCCACAUAAACAAAAACUUUUUGGGAGUCCUCCAGAAUUUUUAAGAGUUAUCUAAACUAUUGCCUUUAAUGACCAGGAACUCCAAUUUGAGAAGUUACCCUACGUUAAGCCAACAGCAGCCUGGCUCCUUCAUCCUGUGCAGUAUGGGACAGAGCUGGGUCCUUGUUGUCAUCAGCCAGACAAGCACACAUUAAAGCCCACCUUAGCCAUUGGCAUUACAGCUUUAAAAGCAGCUCCAUCCUACCAUGCUGUCACUCUACUCAAUCACGUGAUCUUAACGACCAGCUCUACAUAUCCUCUCUCCAUGCCCCCACCACCAUCCCCCACCAACAAAUCCGAUACAUUUGUUUUUUGUUGUUGUUGUUUUUGUUUCUGUUUGUUGUUUUUACUAUUUACUCUGAUGCUUGCCUGAAGAUUCUGCUAUCAGCUACAGGUCUGGGUUUGUGUCUCCGACAAAGAACCACCUCAAAGCCCCACAGAAAAGGACUGUACCGUAUACUUCAAACUAUUGACACCUCAAAGAACAGAGCUUGGGUUCAGGCUUCUGAUGCAUUCUGAGACACUCUCAGACCAUACCAGUGGGCUGGGUCAGGAUUUACAGAACUAUUUUCAUUUCAAGAGCAUACGGGCUCAUGAGAUUGCUAACUCAAGAUCCGGUGGAACAGAAAUACUUAUAUCGGACUGAAUAAACUGAUGAGGAAAAUCUUA